Molecule: ribosomal RNA, 89 nt
Filed under: Clostridiales bacterium
Lineage: Bacteria; Bacillati; Bacillota; Clostridia; Eubacteriales
Description: partial 23S ribosomal RNA
Rfam family: Bacterial large subunit ribosomal RNA
Source: RNAcentral
GGUCAAGCAAGAAAGAGCAAAGGGAGAAUGCCUUGGCGCCAGGGGCCGAUGAAGGACGCAGCAAGCUGCGAAAAUCCGCGGGGAGGAGC